GACGAACCGUGCAAACGUUGUUCGGAAUCACUGGGCUUAAAGGGCGCGUAGGCGGGUGAGCAAGUCCGGGGUGAAAUCUUUCGGCUUAACCGGAAAAGUACCUUGGAUACUGCUCGUCUGGAGGAAGGUAGGGGCAGGUGGAACUUCUGGUGGAGCGGUGAAAUGCGUUGAUAUCAGAAGGAACGCCGGUGGCGAAAGCGACCUGCUGGACCUUUUCUGACGCUGAGGCGCGAAAGCUAGGGGAGCAAACGGG
Molecule: ribosomal RNA, 253 nt
Filed under: uncultured bacterium
Lineage: Bacteria
Description: partial 16S ribosomal RNA
Rfam family: Bacterial small subunit ribosomal RNA
Source: RNAcentral